RNAcentral lists this ribosomal RNA (253 nucleotides) under uncultured bacterium. RNAcentral describes it as "partial 16S ribosomal RNA". It matches the Rfam family "Bacterial small subunit ribosomal RNA", at positions 524 to 776 of the family's 1533-position model. The record is from RNAcentral.
UACAGAGGGUGCAAGCGUUGUUCGGAAUUAUUGGGCGUAAAGGGCGCGUAGGCGGUGCGGUAAGUCUUUUGUGAAAUCUCCGGGCUCAACUCGGAGUCUGCAGGAGAAACUGCCGUGCUUGAGUAUGGGAGAGGUGAGUGGAAUUCCUGGUGUAGUGGUGGAAUGCGUAGAGAUCCGGAGGAACACCAGCGGCGAAGGCGGCGUCCUGGACUGGUACUGACGCUCAGGAGCGAAAGCGUGGGGAGCGAUCCGG